GUGUUCACUUCGGCAGCACAUAUACUAAAAAUGGAACAAUACAGAGGAGAUUAGCAUGGCCCCUGCAAAAGGAUGACAUGCAAAUUCCUGGAGCAUUCCAGAUUUUU
This is a small nuclear RNA of Mesocricetus auratus (golden hamster), 107 nucleotides long. The record is from Ensembl. NCBI's taxonomy places the organism in Eukaryota, Metazoa, Chordata, Mammalia, Rodentia, Cricetidae.